Neogale vison (American mink) is the source of this 560-nucleotide long non-coding RNA. RefSeq lists it as uncharacterized. The record is from RefSeq and is a predicted model, not a curated record. NCBI's taxonomy places the organism in Eukaryota, Metazoa, Chordata, Mammalia, Carnivora, Mustelidae. The transcript has 2 exons.
AUCCCAGGACCCUGGGAUCACGACCUGAGCCGAAGGCAGAGGCUUUAACCCACUGAGCCACCCAGGCACACCAGGAUUAUGGUUUUGAACCCGUCAGAUAUUUUAAGAGAAGAAAACUCAAAGGAGACUCAAAGAAGGAAAAGAAAUCUUGAGAACCGGAGGCCAAACGAGACGGCAGAGGUUUUCAACGUCAACCAGUGAGAUAAGUGAUGUCUACGAGUUACACCGAGGACAAGGCAACAGAGAAUAAAAACAUUAAUUUAUUUUGGAGAAGAGUCACACAGCAUCCUAAAGAGAGAUGAUGGCUCACCAUUCACACGCCGGCCUGAAAUGCUUCAGAGGUGAUUAUCUGAGUGGUUCUGGGUAGUUUCGACCUACGGCUCCGGAUAGGUGAAAAUGAUCCCCCUUCUACUGCGUGCUGGGCGGACACUCACCCCACUGCAACCAAACGGUUAGAGUCCUACCCAGUUCUUGGAGCAAAACAAUCUGGAAACUGCAGCCCAUUUUUAUUGCAUUUUAAUGGUUUCAAUAAAUGUUUAAUGUGACAAUCAGUAUUAGAA